Molecule: RNA transcript, 654 nt
Organism: Triticum aestivum (bread wheat)
Lineage: Eukaryota; Viridiplantae; Streptophyta; Magnoliopsida; Poales; Poaceae
Exons: 5
Source: RefSeq, a predicted model, not a curated record
AGCGCACGCUCUUUAGGCUGGUGCUAGGCUGCAUCUUUUCCUGCCCCCGUCCUGGUGCCUCCUCCUACCCGCGUAAAUGGCGAGCAGAGGGCGUGAGUACCAGAGUUUGGAUGUGGAUGUUACUUCAGGGAGGAAGUUGGUUACAAUUUUCAUUUGUAUGAUGCAGCAGGCACAAACUAAUUUACAUAAUUUGUUGGUGUUGCGGUCUCUCCCCAUCUUAACAUUGUCUUCCGCUGCAAGGAGAGGAAAUUUGUGUAUAUCACACCUAUCAGCUACAUCCCAUGGAGAGGAAUUUUGUGUCAGGCAUUGUCAUUGGAGAAGCUUUCACAGGCAUGGCCCUUCUUUCGGUCAUAAGAUUUACAGAUAUACUGAUUCUAAAAGAUUUGAUUCACAGGAAAUGGAUUGUAAAUUGCAAGUGAGUUGGGGCUUCUGAUUGGACCUUGUGGUGGUUGGAUCUGCUGACAGAUAGGGAGAAGCAUGAUAGUCCGAGAUUACCUGAAUGAUUCGUGGAAAUUAGAAUGUGGGGAUCUCAAAGAAUGUUUCACAAGAAAAACAAAUAUUGGCCAUUUCCAAACUUGCUCGGUGGUCGAGGUACUAUAGAGGACAUCAAUAGAAUGAAAGCAAGAGCAACCUGACAACAUUAUUGAUAGUCAA